Non-coding RNA from Operophtera brumata (winter moth), 46 nucleotides. The record is from Rfam. NCBI's taxonomy places the organism in Eukaryota, Metazoa, Arthropoda, Insecta, Lepidoptera, Geometridae.
CACUAGGCCCUUUUCAGGGCCACCACCUCAAGCUAGUAUCUGACCU